This 1329-nucleotide ribosomal RNA is filed under the name metagenome. RNAcentral's name for it is "bacterial SSU rRNA". It matches the Rfam family "Bacterial small subunit ribosomal RNA", at positions 8 to 1386 of the family's 1533-position model. The record is from RNAcentral.
AGAGUUUGAUCCUGGCUCAGGAUGAACGCUGGCGGCGUGCUUAACACAUGCAAGUCGAACGAUCCUUCGGGAUAGUGGCGGACGGGUGAGUAACGCGUGGGAAUCUGCCCUCAGGAGGGGGAUAACGGCUGGAAACGGCCGCUAAUACCCCAUAUGCCGAGAGGUGAAAUGAAUUUCGCCUGAGGAUGAGCCCGCGUCUGAUUAGCUAGUUGGUGGGGUAAAGCCUACCAAGGCAACGAUCAGUAGCUGGUCUGAGAGGAUGAUCAGCCACACUGGGACUGAGACACGGCCCAGACUCCUACGGGAGGCAGCAGUGGGGAAUUUUCCGCAAUGGGCGAAAGCCUGACGGAGCAACGCCGCGUGAGGGAUGAAGGCCUCUGGGCUGUAAACCUCUUUUCUCAAGGAAGAAGACCUGACGGUACUUGAGGAAUAAGCCACGGCUAAUUCCGUGCCAGCAGCCGCGGUAAUACGGGAGUGGCAAGCGUUAUCCGGAAUUAUUGGGCGUAAAGCGUCCGCAGGCGGCCUUGUAAGUCUGUUGUUAAAGCGUGGAGCUCAACUCCAUUUAAGCAAUGGAAACUACAAGGCUGGAGUGUGGUAGGGGCAGAGGGAAUUCCCGGUGUAGCGGUGAAAUGCGUAGAUAUCGGGAAGAACACCAGUGGCGAAGGCGCUCUGCUGGGCCAUAACUGACGCUCAUGGACGAAAGCCAGGGGAGCGAAAGGGAUUAGAUACCCCUGUAGUCCUGGCCAUAAACGAUGAACACUAGGUGUCGGGGGAAUCGACCCCCUCGGUGUCGUAGCCAACGCGUUAAGUGUUCCGCCUGGGGAGUACGCACGCAAGUGUGAAACUCAAAGGAAUUGACGGGGGCCCGCACAAGCGGUGGAGUAUGUGGUUUAAUUCGAUGCAACGCGAAGAACCUUACCAGGGUUUGACAUCCUGCGAACCCCUGAGAAAUCGGGGGGUGCCUUCGGGAGCGCAGAGACAGGUGGUGCAUGGCUGUCGUCAGCUCGUGUCGUGAGAUGUUGGGUUAAGUCCCGCAACGAGCGCAACCCACGUCUUUAGUUGCCAGCAUUCAGUUGGGCACUCUAGAGAGACCGCCGGUGAUAAACCGGAGGAAGGUGUGGAUGACGUCAAGUCAUCAUGCCCCUUACAUCCUGGGCUACACACGUACUACAAUGCUACGGACAAAGGGCAGCAAGCUCGCGAGAGUUAGCAAAUCCCAUAAACCGUGGCUCAGUUCAGAUCGUAGGCUGCAACUCGCCUACGUGAAGGAGGAAUCGCUAGUAAUCGCAGGUCAGCAUACUGCGGUGAAUACGUUCCCGGGCCUUGUAC